This 849-nucleotide ribosomal RNA is filed under the name Triticum aestivum (bread wheat). RNAcentral's name for it is "partial small subunit ribosomal RNA". Lineage: Eukaryota; Viridiplantae; Streptophyta; Magnoliopsida; Poales; Poaceae. The record is from RNAcentral.
AUGCGGCCGUGGCAACCGCAGAUGCAGGAUGUGGUGGGCCUUGCCGCCGCGGCCGAUCCCCAGUUUGUGAGGCUCCGGGACAACGCCCGAGAGAAGAUAUUCAAGUUUUUGCUAACGUUGCAAUUGCUGCCUCUCUGGCGGCCGCGCCUCCGGGCGCUCGCGAGCCGGCUAGAGGAAAUCUUGUUUAGAAAAUACCCAAACAAGAUGGAGUACCACAACAUGACGAGGCGACCAAUGUCGCCAACAAUGAUGUUUGCUAUCAAGACCUACACGGCUCAGAACCGACAAUACCGACAAAAUCAACAAUCGUUAAGACAGAUAGCAUCUUCCCAUGGCUAUGGUGCGAUGAAUCUGACAUCCAAUAUCAUGCAAGGUGCGAGUGAAAAUUCUAGAAUGUUUUAUGUGACGGGCAAUGUUGGCCCUUUGUCCUCUACUGCAGACAUGGUUCUGCAGAACGCCAACAUGGAUACCUCACUGCCAGAAGGAGCUUCUGAUGGGCAUGUGAACACAAUGCUUUCACUAGGGAUAAACCCUACACGACAUGAUCUUUCUGGAGCGUCCAAUAACAACCUGUUAACACACAAUCUGGAUACACGUGAAGCCAACAGAUUCUCUCCCAAGGUGGCGCAGGGACGCCCGGCACCUGUGAAGGAUCUCCCAAGGGAACCAAAAUUCACCUGCCCAGUCUGCAUCAAUGAGCUGGUCGAUGCAUCGUCUACUAUCUGCGGCCACAUCUUCUGCAAGAAAUGCAUAGAGGCCUCCAUCCGAUUUCAGAAGAAGUGCCCUACCUGUCGUAGGAGGCUGACCAUGAGAAAUUUCCACCGAAUCUACCUCCCGGCGAUGGAUUGA